RNAcentral lists this ribosomal RNA (330 nucleotides) under Pseudomonas aeruginosa. RNAcentral's name for it is "partial 23S ribosomal RNA". It matches the Rfam family "Bacterial large subunit ribosomal RNA", at positions 2193 to 2522 of the family's 2925-position model. The record is from RNAcentral. Lineage: Bacteria; Pseudomonadati; Pseudomonadota; Gammaproteobacteria; Pseudomonadales; Pseudomonadaceae.
UGAAAUACCACCCUUUAAUGUUUGAUGUUCUAACGUUGGCCCCUGACCGGGGUUGCGGACAGUGUCUGGUGGGUAGUUUGACUGGGGCGGUCUCCUCCCAAAGCGUAACGGAGGAGCACGAAGGUUAGCUAAUCCUGGUCGGACAUCAGGAGGUUAGUGCAAUGGCAUAAGCUAGCUUGACUGCGAGCGUGACGGCGCGAGCAGGUGCGAAAGCAGGUCAUAGUGAUCCGGUGGUUCUGAAUGGAAGGGCCAUCGCUCAACGGAUAAAAGGUACUCCGGGGAUAACAGGCUGAUACCGCCCAAGAGUUCAUAUCGACGGCGGUGUUUGGC